CGUAUCACCCAAGACAACUUUGCGGAGUUGACGAUUGACGGAGCGAAGCGACGUCAAAGCGUUCAUUAAAGUCGAGUUGGCUUAGGGAUACGUUCGUUGGGUAGGGGAGCGUUCUGUAAGCCUGUGAAGGUGGCCUGUGAGGGUUGCUGGAGGUAUCAGAAGUGCGAAUGCUGACAUAAGUAACGAUAAAGCGGGUGAAAAGCCCGCUCGCCGGAAGACCAAGGGUUCCUGUCCAACGUUAAUCGGGGCAGGGUGAGUCGACCCCUAAGGCGAGGCCGAAAGGCGUAGUCGAUGGGAAACGGGUUAAUAUUCCCGUACUUGGUGUUACUGCGAAGGGGGGACGGAGAAGGCUAUGUUGGCCGGGCGACGGUUGUCCCGGUUUAAGCGUGUAGGUGUGUGUUCCAGGUAAAUCCGGUUCACUUUAACACUGAGGCGUGACGACGAGGCACUACGGUGCUGAAGCAACAAAUGCCCUGCUUCCAGGAAAAGCCUCUAAGCAUCAGGUAACAUCAAAUCGUACCCCAAACCGACACAGGUGGUCAGGUAGAGAAUACCAAGGCGCUUGAGAGAACUCGGGUGAAGGAACUAGGCAAAAUGGUGCCGUAACUUCGGGAGAAGGCACGCUGACACGUAGGUGAAGUGAUUUACUCAUGGAGCUGAAGUCAGUCGAAGAUACCAGCUGGCUGCAACUGUUUAUUAAAAACACAGCACUGUGCAAACACGAAAGUGGACGUAUACGGUGUGACGCCUGCCCGGUGCCGGAAGGUUAAUUGAUGGGGUCAGCGCAAGCGAAGCUCCUGAUCGAAGCCCCGGUAAACGGCGGCCGUAACUAUAACGGUCCUAAGGUAGCGAAAUUCCUUGUCGGGUAAGUUCCGACCUGCACGAAUGGCGUAAUGAUGGCCAGGCUGUCUCCACCCGAGACUCAGUGAAAUUGAACUCGCUGUGAAGAUGCAGUGUACCCGCGGCAAGACGGAAAGACCCCGUGAACCUUUACUAUAGCUUGACACUGAACAUUGAGCCUUGAUGUGUAGGAUAGGUGGGAGGCUUUGAAGUGUGGACGCCAGUCUGCAUGGAGCCGACCUUGAAAUACCACCCUUUAAUGUUUGAUGUUCUAACGUGGACCCGUUACCCGGGUUGCGGACAGUGUCUGGUGGGUAGUUUGACUGGGGCGGUCUCCUCCUAAAGAGUAACGGAGGAGCACGAAGGUUGGCUAAUCCUGGUCGGACAUCAGGAGGUUAGUGCAAUGGCAUAAGCCAGCUUGACUGCGAGCGUGACGGCGCGAGCAGGUGCGAAAGCAGGUCAUAGUGAUCCGGUGGUUCUGAAUGGAAGGGCCAUCGCUCAACGGAUAAAAGGUACUCCGGGGAUAACAGGCUGAUACCGCCCAAGAGUUCAUAUCGACGGCGGUGUUUGGCACCUCGAUGUCGGCUCAUCACAUCCUGGGGCUGAAGUAGGUCCCAAGGGUAUGGCUGUUCGCCAUUUAAAGUGGUACGCGAGCUGGGUUUAGAACGUCGUGAGACAGUUCGGUCCCUAUCUGCCGUGGGCGCUGGAGAACUGAGGGGGGCUGCUCCUAGUACGAGAGGACCGGAGUGGACGCAUCACUGGUGUUCGGGUUGUCAUGCCAAUGGCACUGCCCGGUAGCUAAAUGCGGAAGAGAUAAGUGCUGAAAGCAUCUAAGCACGAAACUUGCCCCGA
RNAcentral lists this ribosomal RNA (1692 nucleotides) under Salmonella enterica. RNAcentral describes it as "partial 23S ribosomal RNA". It matches the Rfam family "Bacterial large subunit ribosomal RNA", at positions 1154 to 2802 of the family's 2925-position model. The record is from RNAcentral. RNAcentral also lists the same sequence under 1 other name. Lineage: Bacteria; Pseudomonadati; Pseudomonadota; Gammaproteobacteria; Enterobacterales; Enterobacteriaceae.